This is a small nucleolar RNA of Gossypium raimondii (Peruvian cotton), 107 nucleotides long. NCBI's taxonomy places the organism in Eukaryota, Viridiplantae, Streptophyta, Magnoliopsida, Malvales, Malvaceae. The record is from RefSeq and is a predicted model, not a curated record.
AACCCAUGGUGAGGACACCGUCUUUAUAAGUCCUUAUACCUCUCCCAUGCGUCAUAUAGAGUUUUUAAGUCAAUCUAAACGAAGGAAGAGAUAUCAUUCCUCAACUU